Molecule: small RNA, 679 nt
Filed under: Pongo abelii (Sumatran orangutan)
Lineage: Eukaryota; Metazoa; Chordata; Mammalia; Primates; Hominidae
Description: processed transcript
Source: RNAcentral
CAUGUCUGACUAGCUACCUGCUGUAACAAUAGAGGCAGCCUCAGAGUCCCAAGCCCUAGAUACUAGUCCCAACUCUGCCACCUUGGGGCCUUUGUUCCCCCACCUGAGAAGGAGAAGAGCUCAGCUCUAAGUCCCCCCUCCCUGGCUCUGGCAUUGGACCCUCAUUGUCCUCCCUCCAUCUGGAAUUGCCUGUCUGCUGGCACACGUUCUGGCAGUUCCGCCAUGAGAACCCCCAGACCAGGGUUGGGGGCCCGCCCCCCGAGGGGCUGCCGGGCUUCAACAGUGGGGUGAUGUUGCUGAACCUGGAGGCCAUGCGCCAGUCCCCGCUCUACAGCCGCCUGCUGGAGCCGGCGCAGGUGCAGCAGCUGGCCGACAAGUACCACUUCCGCGGCCACCUCGGGGACCAGGACUUCUUCACCAUGAUCGGCAUGGAGCACCCCAAGCUCUUCCAUGUGCUGGACUGUACCUGGAACCGGCAGCUGUGCACCUGGUGGAGGGACCAUGGCUACAGUGAUGUCUUUGAGGCCUAUUUCCGGUGUGAGGGCCACGUCAAGAUCUACCACGGGAACUGCAACACUCCCAUCCCAGAGGACUAGGCGCACCCCUGCCUUGCCCCCGGGGCCUCCAGAUCUGGGGGAAGGACAGGGCUCCUUGGGACAGACCCAGGGGCAGUGUCUGA